Molecule: transfer RNA, 71 nt
Organism: Camelus ferus (Wild Bactrian camel)
Lineage: Eukaryota; Metazoa; Chordata; Mammalia; Artiodactyla; Camelidae
Rfam family: tRNA
About the family: Transfer RNA (tRNA) molecules are approximately 80 nucleotides in length. Their secondary structure includes four short double-helical elements and three loops (D, anti-codon, and T loops).
Source: Rfam
GUGGAUAUAGUUCAGUGUAGAGUGCAUGCUUAGCAUGCACAAGGUCCUGGGUUCAAUCCCCAGUACCUCCA